RNAcentral lists this small nuclear RNA (108 nucleotides) under Jaculus jaculus (lesser Egyptian jerboa). Lineage: Eukaryota; Metazoa; Chordata; Mammalia; Rodentia; Dipodidae. The record is from RNAcentral.
GUGCUCACUUCAGGAGCACAUAUACUAAAAAUUGGAACAAUACAGACAAGAUUAGCAUGGCCCCUGCACAAGGAUGACAUGCUAAUUCGUGAAGCAUUCCAUAUGUUC